AGCACCACGCGUUAAUAUAAGUAAUGAGACGAUGGCGUACUUUCUUAAUUUGACACGAUUAUAUUGAAUCUAUAUACCGCUGUGUACCAAUUUAUAUCUAAACAAGCGCUAAGUGCAGUAUCUAGGUAGUUUUAUAUCAACGGUCGAACCGGAAAAACCAUUGCUCAGAGCAUUUUAAUCAAAAAUAAGAAACGUGUGAAAAUAUUAAUUAACAUUGGUCCUUAAUGAAUUGGUUACUGAAGGCUGACAAAGUAUAAAACCUGGCGCCAAUAAAGAAACUGCCACAGUACUGGGUAACUUGUUGAGAAAAAUGCUUAUCCCUAUAGCAUUUGCAGCCCUUAUUGGGGUAAGUUUUGGAAGUAUCUCUCAGCCUCCAAAACCAUGUGGUUGUCCGGUGGAAUAUAACCCAGUAUGCGGCUCGAACCAGAAAACAUACAUAAAUAGAUGUAUCAUGAGUUGUGACUAUACCGCGCCUCACUUUCUAUAUUACGGAAAAUGCACGGGCUAUUCGCCACCCUACCAAUAUACUACUACCACCCCAGAUCCGCCACCCUACCCAUAUCCUACUACCAGCCCAUAUCCGCCACCCUACCCAUAUCCUACUACCAGCCCAUAUCCGCCACCCUACCCAUAUCCUACUACCAGUCCAUAUCCGCCACCCUACCCAUAUCCUACUACCAGCCCAAAUCCGCCACCCUACCCAUAUCCUACUACCAGCCCAUAUCCGCCACCCUACCCAUAUCCUACUACCAGCCCAUAUCCGCCACCCUACCCAUAUCCUACGACCAGCCCAAAUCCACCACCCUACCCAUAUCCUACUGCAAAACCUCCAUUCUAUCCAUCAUUAACAGGUUCUGCCGCGGGGAAGGAACAUAACUGAAUCACCAACGAAUAACGUGACGUAAAUAAAAUAUGGAAAUAAUAUCAAAAUUUUAAUAAAAUUUACAUGAUUAUUUUUUCGUCA
Molecule: long non-coding RNA, 964 nt
Organism: Pectinophora gossypiella (pink bollworm)
Lineage: Eukaryota; Metazoa; Arthropoda; Insecta; Lepidoptera; Gelechiidae
Exons: 2
Source: RefSeq, a predicted model, not a curated record